CAUACGGUACCAGCUUUCAAAGCCCUUGAAACCCUGUUUGCCGUGUCCAGAUUCUUCGUGAAAACCCCUGCCGCUAGCCCGUACUUCGUCUCGUUCGCCCUCUUUAUCACCUCAUCCACAUCACUGA
RNAcentral lists this small RNA (127 nucleotides) under Arabidopsis thaliana (thale cress). RNAcentral describes it as "ATSL177210". The record is from RNAcentral. Lineage: Eukaryota; Viridiplantae; Streptophyta; Magnoliopsida; Brassicales; Brassicaceae.